AUCAGCAGCUCUGGAAUUGAAGUUACCUAUUUAUCCAUAGAACUGAUACAGCAUGGGCAGCAGCAAGCUUCCCCAAACCACCCCAUGCUCUGCCUUUUUCUUUCAACCUUGGGACCGCCUCUAGGGAAGAUAGGGUACGUGACUUUCUAUGCUAAGUCCAUCCUUGGUCUCC
This 172-nucleotide small RNA is filed under the name Gopherus agassizii (Agassiz's desert tortoise). RNAcentral's name for it is "TUC338 (ENSGAGG00000006271.1)". Lineage: Eukaryota; Metazoa; Chordata; Testudines; Testudinidae. The record is from RNAcentral.